Molecule: non-coding RNA, 82 nt
Organism: Aequorivita sublithincola DSM 14238
Lineage: Bacteria; Pseudomonadati; Bacteroidota; Flavobacteriia; Flavobacteriales; Flavobacteriaceae
Source: Rfam
AUUUACGUGAAUUUGAUGUUAAAUUCGCUGGAUUCAAAAUCCAGUGUUUUAGGACGUGCGGGUUCGAUUCCCGCCUCGAGUA